This 468-nucleotide ribosomal RNA is filed under the name uncultured bacterium. Its description in RNAcentral is "partial 16S ribosomal RNA". It matches the Rfam family "Bacterial small subunit ribosomal RNA", at positions 28 to 507 of the family's 1533-position model. The record is from RNAcentral.
GACGAACGCUGGCGGCGUGCUUAACACAUGCAAGUCGAACGGAAAGGCCCUGCUUUUGUGGGGUGCUCGAGUGGCGAACGGGUGAGUAACACGUGAGUAACCUGCCCUUGACUUUGGGAUAACUUCAGGAAACUGGGGCUAAUACCGGAUAGGAGCUCCUGCUGCAUGGUGGGGGUUGGAAAGUUUCGGCGGUUGGGGAUGGACUCGCGGCUUAUCAGCUUGUUGGUGGGGUAGUGGCUUACCAAGGCUUUGACGGGUAGCCGGCCUGAGAGGGUGACCGGCCACAUUGGGACUGAGAUACGGCCCAGACUCCUAUGGGAGGCAGCAGUGGGGAAUAUUGCACAAUGGGCGGAAGCCUGAUGCAGCAACGCCGCGUGCGGGAUGACGGCCUUCGGGUUGUAAACCGCUUUCGCCUGUGACGAAGCGUGAGUGACGGUAAUGGGUAAAGAAACACCGGCUAACUACGUG